This is an RNA transcript of Lethenteron reissneri (Far Eastern brook lamprey), 6577 nucleotides long. It is a transcript of the gene named family with sequence similarity 131 member A, with no coding region annotated. The record is from RefSeq and is a predicted model, not a curated record. NCBI's taxonomy places the organism in Eukaryota, Metazoa, Chordata, Hyperoartia, Petromyzontiformes, Petromyzontidae.
AGUGUUUGCAUUAAAAUCAGCAGCAGCAUCAGCAGCGUUAGCAACAGCAGCAGCGUUAAUGUCAACAUCAUCAUCAGCAUUUACAUGAACAACAGCGUUAAAUACAGUGAUCAUUAUCAACAUAUUCAGCAUCAGCAGAUUUAACAUCAUCAGCAUCAUCAAUAUAAUUAUUAACAUCAGCAAAUGUGAACAUCAUCAUUAACGUGAACAUCAUCAUCGUCUGCAGCAUUAUCAUGAAUAUCGUCAGCAUCAUUCAUAUCAACAUGAUCAUAAUCAGUAACUGCAUCAUAACAUUUACAGCAUCAUCAUUAUGAGCAAUAUCGUCAGCAGCAUCAGCAACGCCACCAUCAGCAUCAUCUACAUGAAAUAAUUAAACAUGAUAAACACCAUCAGAACAACAAAGUACAUAUAAAUAACUUAAUCAUCACGAUUUGCCAUCAACAACCGUAACUUCAGCGUCAUGGAGUUUGUCUACCUCGUCAUACUAUCUUCAUCAUAAUCAGCAUUAUAAAGUACAAUAUCAACUUAAUUAAACAUCAUUGUCACUAAUUAUGUAAGGAAGUGUAACAGAAAAUUAAUGCACAAUGCAGUUAGUUAUUCGGGGACUGCUGAUGGUUUGGCAUAUUGCACAAGGACUUGAUGCUUUUGUACGCGUUUCUGUGCGUGGUUUUAAACUUGCAAUGUUUUUGCUUGAACAUUUUUUGCUCUGUUACGAUGGGUCUACUCGUAAUUUCCAGAUUUGACAGAGGCAACGAUGCGUAGUCACGACUCUGUAUAUACAGUACAGGUGUGUACAUGUAUGUGCCGUAUGCGUGUUUGUGUAUUAAUCUCCUGCGACUGGCCUGCCGAUAUUGUUGAGAAAGCAAUCCGGAGCCAGAGACCAGUAAAGCGCCAUGCAGAGAUGACCUCCCAAACGAUUUAGCUUGCGAAGAGUGGCCACGGGGCUAUGGGCUGUAUCGGCUCACGGAGGAGCAUAGUGAAGGCAGAGGUCCUGCGCGAGUGGCCCCACAAGAGCAAUGGGCCAGGGAGCGGCGGAGGGAGCAGCGUCAGCGUCCCUGGGAGCACGGGGGUGCAGGGAGGCCUGGCGAGAGGGGACCUGGGGAGCUGCAGCUCGGAGGCGAGCGGGCCGAGCGCUCCCGCCCUCUCGGGCAACACCAGCGAGGCUUCCGUUGAGGACACCACGCAGAUCCUGCCCAGGGUUCGGAGGUCACGAACUCUUACCGGGAUAACAGCGUUGGCCAGGUCGUCCAUCACAGGUCUGUCGGAGAGCGUGCGUGCACGUGUCACCAAGCCCAUGGCGCGGGGCCGGGUGGCUCACCUCAUCGAGUGGAACGACUGGGACCACGGCCACGUCCAGUCCUACCACGAGUCGACGCUUUACACAGACGCCCCGUACUGCGACACCACCGACAUGGUCGAUGGGGAGAGAGAGGCUCGCUUUGCUGAGGGUGUGGCACAGCAGUUUGCCCUGAGUGAGGCCCGCCUCAGGGCCUGGUCGUCCGGGGAGGGAGAUGGUGAGGACGGGGACAUGGGGGAUGGGUCAGGGGAGUGGGUGCACAUCCCCUGUGUGCACACGCCCUUCCACACCAGCACGGACUGCGACCUGGAGCGCUUCCCGUCCUCCGUGUCGCUGUCCGAAGUGCUGCAGGCGCGUCUGCGCCGGCUGGCGGCGGCGCGCACACCACCGGUGCUCUCGCCGGAGAGCGUUCAAGGCGUGCUCUUCUCCCCCGACGGCGUCGCGCUCGAGACGCUCGAGACGCUCGUGUGCCGCGGCUUCGCCGACGGCUUCGCCUCCGUCGAGCGGCAGCGCUUGCCGGACCUCGCCCCGGGCCUCCUCGCCGCCCCCGAGUGUCUCCCCCUGCAGACGUUUGUCAGGAACGAGGACGGGCGCGCCGGCGUUCCCGCGGGGACGCUCCUGCCUUCGGGAGAGGAGGAGGAGCGGGAGGAGCGGGAGGACGAGGAGGGUGAAUUGGAGGGCGAGGAGGAAGAGGAGGAGGAGGAAGAGGAGGAUGACGGGCGGCAGCGUCAGCUCGGGGCGCCGUGGGGUUACCGAAAUUCGCCGGGUGCGGUGCUCUUGCCAGAUUUGAAGGCGGAGGUGGCGCCGACAUAGGGCGGUCGGGGUCACGCGGCGAUCACCUCUGGCCGCGCGCACGCGCGCAUGCGCAUGUACACACGCGCACGCACGUUCAGGCGUAGACUAGCGCGUGAUGCAUGUGUGCAAGCUGCAUGUACUGCAUGGGUGCGUGCGUGUGGGCGCGUUUGUUAAACGCUAAACACUUGCACCGAUGCGUGUGCACACGCACACGUGCACAGACACUCAUGCGCACGUGCACUACCUUCGUGCAACCCCCCCCCCCACACACACGCACGCGCGCGUCCGUGCACGCACGCGCGUACUGAGCAAGUGACCGGGAGGCUCGUGGUGCUCCGUGGCUCACCGGGCUCGCGUUGUUGUUUUGUUUUUGGUGGAUUUCGGGCAUCUCUACAUUCGAAUGAUGCGGAGAAAUUUGCUGUUUGCGGGCGCGUGCGCCAUCUGCUGUGAGGAGGGAGCGGCAAAAGGAAGUGAUUUCGCCGGAUGCCGUGUCACGGAUCGCCCUCCGCUCGGACGCGACUGCUGUCUCGGCUCGCGAAAACACGCACACACACACACAACCCCCAUCCAUCUUUGUGUCAGUCCGCCGCUGGACGAGGGCAAAUGCAGAGAAAAUAUCGCCGGUCUGGCGAAUACAGAGGAAGGAUCACCGGUUUGAAAUGAAGACUCCCUGGCCAUCCCUCCCCCUCCCCCCGUUGUACAAAUCAACAUUUUAAAGACGUUUCUCCUCUGCAUAUAACGGACUGAUUCCUGCUAUCUGACUUUGCGGUCUCUUCUUUGCCACAUUGUGGUUUUUGCACUUUGGGGACGAGGGUGAGAGGGGUCAUGCACACGCGUGAGACUCUCAAACGGCUCGCUGGGCUGCGAGGUGGCCACGGGAUGAAAGUAUUAUUAGCAAGUUGGUUCUUGAUUCCAUCCGUGUGGAAGCUUUUUGUGUUAUCCCCAUAUUUGUGUGGAUGUUCUCCGGGUUUCUCCGGUUUCCGUUCCGCACGAAGCAAUACGCUCAUGAAAUUUGGCUUAACAUGCCAACUGCAACGAGCCUCGUGAAAGAGCAUUGACGCCCUGUGCGGCUUUCAUGGCUCACGGGAAAUAUUUUAUCUCUCCCCAACCAAAAGCCUUCAAGUAAAAAACAUAAGUAAAUUACGUUCCUUUCCUGAUCAAACCUCUACUCUUGGAACCGCAUGCCCUCUCAGCCCAUCAUGCAUUGUCUUGACUUACACUGCAUAGACGUUUUUUUUAUGAACAUGACUUCUGUUGUACAGAUGAGUAAACUAACUAUUUUAACUAACUAACUGAACUAUACAGCUCUUUUUCAGAAGCAACCUGGCCACAAAUGAUAGCGCAAUGAAGUGGCUUAUCACGUGGCUAUUUUUAGCUGCCAAAAACUCAAACGCAUAUUUAUAAAUGUGGAGGAAAAAAACGGAGGAAAAUCCACUCAAUCACGGGAAGUACAUGCAAACUCCAGAUACACAAGCAUCAUGGGGGUCGGGAUCGAACCCGCGGCCUCGCUGUAUACCAGGCGAGGUAGUUUUUACAACUCGCCACCACUGACAAUCUCGCCCUCAUCACGCGCAAUAGCUGCAUAGGGAGGCGCGCGAUCGCCCGUUCAGUCUGCCGGGCGACGGCCGCUGUGAUUCACGCGUGCGUGUUCAAUUAAACGGGCAUCGUUUUCCAGCAGGCAACAUACAAGCUUCCCGCUGUACGGGGCAGUACGGUACAGCAAGCAGAAUCAACCUGUGUAACGGAGUUUGGUUGUUUUCUCCUCGUAUGCGUAGAGUUUUAUUUUCUGGUUAUUCCAGAUUCCCUCCGCUUGCAAAAAAAAAAAACCCACGAUAUGUUACUUUUACAAUAUUUGGCCGAGCAUCGCAAAAGAGGUCCCAAUAUAGAGAGAGAGAGACUCGUGAGCCUCAGUGAGGCUCUUUUCUGGGUGCCGCUUGAGUUUGGGGUCCGUUUCUCACGUGAGACCGAGGCCAAAUGUGAGGCCGGCAAACUGUAGAAAGGGUGUGUCAGAGAAGUUCGUUUUUCGUUUUUCGGCCGAGUCUUUAUGACACAGAGACCAGGCGGAGCGACGUUGCCGUGAUGCAUCCUCAGGGAGUUGAGUCAUCGCCAAGGGCUCUCUCUGCCGGCUGGCCACGUUGCUGGCAGGCCGCGUUGCUGGGUGGGCCACGAUCGUUUACAAAGGCCAUACGUGGCCAAACCUGAAGGUGUGGACAAGGCGCCACACGCGAGAGUUGCAGUGAAAUGGGUUGUCAUGGGCCCGGGGCAGAUGUCUGGCGUGUCGGCACCACUCGAGGUGCCAAAACUGAAACGUUAGCUCACCGUACCAGUCAUCGGGGUCAUUUGAACAUGCUUCAUCACGCCGGUUAGAUAUCACUCUGCACUGAUGUUCGUCGUGGCCCUGAGCCGAUUUCCAGUCAUCGAGGUCAUGUCACAAAACACCACGCCACUGCUCCACCCAUGCACAACUGUAAUGGUAGCAAUUUAUUUCGUCAAAUAAUUGGGUUAGAUCAUAAUUCAUUUCAACUCACCCAUGUUUCGAGUGGCUCAGGGCUCAGAACUCGAAGUGGACACUCCUGGGAUCCUUGAUUCAAAUCCAUGAUUCGUCCACCCACGUUUAAACCGGGUUCUUAGGUGGAGUAAAUCGAUGGUCUCAGUCCAGUCACCAAUGGCUGCACACAAAAAAACCACCCAUGAUAUAAAAUUAUUAUUUGUUACUUAAUUUGGCUGAAAUCCAGGUCUGAGAAUAAAAAAAACAUUGGUUUGAAUGUCGUUUGAUAAUUAUACAAGGGCAUGUGGAAUCCCUGCACUGUGUGUGCAUUAACGACCGCAUGAAAGGAUCUCCGAUGUAGUGCUGUGAAAUCUGCUUCCACAGGCCAUUCUUUACCACGUGGGGUGAUGCAUUGCUUUGCGAGAGUUUCCCAUCGCUAUGAUUAUUUCUCAUGACACGAUGCCAAUUGCACAAGUGGAAUUGAAUUUGUUGGUGAGGUGGAUGGGAAAGACCAAAACAAAGUCAAGGAUUCUAGAUUUGAAGCUUUCGUGACUGCAAGGAUUCAUACUCUUUGUUUUUUUCGGUAAAGUCACUUAGGUUAAAAGAAAACACAUAAAUUAAAUCACGACGUUUCGGAGGCAACACAAGCUUCCGUCUUCAGGUGAAACCGUCACAGCAAAAUUGCUGUUUCAAGUGUUGCCUCCGAAACGUCGUGAUUAAAUGUAUUUGUUUUCUUUUAACCUACGUGACUUUUUCGAUUUAAAGCUUUCGUGACUGCAGGGAUUCAUCUUCUUGGUUCUUUCGCUAAAGUCACGUAGGUUACGUGACUUUACCGAAAAAACCAAAGAGAAAGUCAAGGAUAUUCUCAACCACUAAGAGUUUUGCACCUCGGCCGACACUGACUUCUGCUUUAGCCCACGGACUGAAGCAGGUGGCUGCAGUAGCGGCAGCGGCGGUGGUGGUGGUGGCGGUGGUGGUGAUGGUGGUGGUGGCUUCGCAGCGGAUUCCCUGCGACGCUUCCCGUGCGGUGACCGUGAAGAAAGUCGCCGCAUGAGACACGGGGAACGCGCGCCGCGUUUAAAACCCCGCCGCCUCUUGCCUUUCUCAUGAUUUUUGAUUCUCUUAAGUGACGCGCUCUAUCCUUUGAAUUGUCUUCGGUGCACGUUGCCCGCUAAUGUUCAGUGGCUUGAUAUGCAUCGGCUUAAAGUUGUUUGCGUUGGCGCGAUUUCAUCGUUUAUUUCCACGGAAGCGUGCUGUACUUUUUCGACGGUGUCCGUGCUUCGGUGAAGAGACGCCGACGUCAUGGCUCAUGGGACACUGCAUGGGCCACGCUUUCAGCGACGAGGCAUCGCGCGCUUUGAUGAUUUCCUUACGAGCCAAGAACUGUUCUGAAGAGGGUGGCCUCCCUCGGCUCAGUUUUGGGAACGUUCAGCUUCAAGAUUCAAUCCGGAGGAAGGGCCCCCUCCCAGAAGGGCACAGCCUUUUUUUCACUUCAUCAUCCUCAUGAUUUUCCUCUCCGAGCCCCCUCCCCGUUAUUCCGUGCCCUCUACACGUUUCUGCACGGAGCGGGGAGACGGCAUGGACAGCCAGAGGGUUUGACCCAUUCGCAACAAUCCGUCACUAAACACCGGCUGCUGCUGCUGCUACUGCUGCCAUCGUCGUCGUGAAAUCGCACGAUCGCCGUCGGGGUUUUCUUCUUUAACGCGUCGUCGUUAAGCCAACCCGACUUCACGUUGAUACGACUCUUGCCUGUUCUCAGUGAAGAGCGUACCUACGAUGACGACGAUGGUGUUGGCGGUCGGUCGGCGAGCUUACUAAAAGGCUGUUUAAUGCCCCAGCCAUAUUAAACGGAGGUCGUGGCGCUGUGAGUUUGGGUGCGGGUUUGUAGGACCUGGGUGGGGGGAGGUCCAGGGUGCGUGUGCACACCCUGGUUUGUCCAGGUCUGCAGCCACUCAUCGGUAUGUACAGAAAGUUACGUUUUAUUUGGGCAAAUCUGU